GAUGAACGCUGGCGGCGUGCUUAACACAUGCAAGUCGAACGGUGAAGCAGGAGCUUGCUCUUGUGGAUCAGUGGCGAACGGGUGAGUAACACGUGAGCAACCUGCCCCUGACUCUGGGAUAAGCGCUGGAAACGGCGUCUAAUACUGGAUAUGUGAUGUGACCGCAUGGUCUGCAUCUGGAAAGAAUUUCGGUUGGGGAUGGGCUCGCGGCCUAUCAGCUUGUUGGUGAGGUAAUGGCUCACCAAGGCGUCGACGGGUAGCCGGCCUGAGAGGGUGACCGGCCAGACUGGGACUGAGACACGGCACAGACUCCUACGGGAGGCAGCAGUGGGGAAUAUUGCACAAUGGGCGGAAGCCUGAUGCAGCAACGCCGCGUGAGGGAUGACGGCCUUCGGGUUGUAAACCUCUUUUAGCAGGGAAGAAGCGAAAGUGACGGUACCUGCAGAAAAAGCACCGGCUAACUACGUGCCAGCCGCCGCAGUAA
RNAcentral lists this ribosomal RNA (484 nucleotides) under uncultured bacterium. Its description in RNAcentral is "partial 16S ribosomal RNA". It matches the Rfam family "Bacterial small subunit ribosomal RNA", at positions 28 to 523 of the family's 1533-position model. The record is from RNAcentral.